CUGCUGUUGAAAAAAAGUCAAGAAACAAAACUGAUGUCACGUCGUGAGCAUGGUUAAUAAAGUGUGCAUUUAGUAAAGGAGUCUGUUCACGCAAAGUGUCCUUUUGUUUCUCGAUUCCUCAAUCUGUGUUAUCCCACCGGUGUCCCGUCCACCUACACGUGGUUGAAACAGUGAAACAGUCCAGAGAAAACCUUGUUGGAAUAGGUUGCGAAGUACAAAUACGAACACAAACUGAAUACAAACUGUAGACAGUGAAGUACUCAAAUGUUCAGUGGCAGCAACACAGGAGUAGAUGAAUUGCCAGACAAUAUGUUCUACCAAUCAACAUGGAAAUUAACAUGGAUAAAAAUUUUCACAUCAUACAAAGUAUGACUGUUGAAAAAUAUGCUAGACAGUGAAAAGUACAUCAACAUUAGUGUCGAAAAGCGUUGGUUAGUCCAGGUAAAUUGCAGGUUGGCUUUGCCUACAUGUUCCAGGUUUGCAACAAAGUUUUUUCAAGUGCUGAGUGGGGUCGGUGGGGUGGGGUGUUAUGAAACUUAAAGACCAGAUAAAAUGAAAAGUCAACCUUCUUGAUUAUCCAAUAAUCAAGCUGAAGUUUUCAUGUGGCAUAGGUGCUUUUGGCCCAAUCCAAUAAGCUAAGCUGUGUCUUACAAAUCUAAGGAAAUCCUAUUUGCAAGGUUUAACAUCAGGAUCAAGUCAAAACUUCUUUGAUUGCUUUCUAUGUGCGCAUGGUUUUGUUGCAGUCAGCUGGUGAAAGGUGUAAUCUUGUAAAGUUGAGCUGUUGCAUGCAGUGGAUGUGUGCAUGGUGCUGGUCUGGUCUGGUCUGGUGUUACCUUUGGGAGUUCAUGGUCAGUGAUGUUUGAGCUGUUUUUGGUGUUGCUGUUUGGUGAACAGUGGUUUUGCAGUCCCUUUCCAGUUGAGAGAUGCUCUGAAAUGGAACUUGUGCAGACUUGUAGUUCAACAUCACACUUAAAUGUGUCAUUUGUCUAUGUUGGUGUCCAUGCAGUAUAUGCAGUGUUGAACAGUUGGGGUAAAAUAGUCUAUGCUGCCUGAUGGCUGUCGCCUGUCGGUCUUAUUUUAUCGGUUGCAUUUUGUCGAUAUGUCGUCUCUUGCUACCUCUGCCGGCGUUGAGUUGAAACGUUAGCCGCCGUUCCUUAGACUUGAUUCACCGGUGAAACUAAGAAGACGUAGCUGAAAUUCAAGAUUGAUCAAUAAAUUAUGUAGAUAAAUUACACGUGCAUAAUCUGGGUUCCCUUCUUCAGUGGCCCCGUUCCCCUAACUAACCAAUAACCAACGCCCGCCAGUGGUCACUCACUCGCUGCGACAACCAGGAGGGAGAUGUCUGUCGAACGGGGACUUGCUAGGCGCAUGAUUCGAUUAAAUCUGUUGGAGGGUCAUGAGUCUAAGCCGGAAGCCUACUAUGAUGCAUUUCUCUCAUGAUAACUGCUCCUCGGCUCUCUUCGCUCUUUUUCCGGUUUCUCUUAACCAUGGCCGGGUAAUCUCCCUGGUCGAGUCAGUCGGGCAGUGUCUUCCCCUGCUUGACUGGCUGCAGUUUGAAUCGGACGGUCUGUUAAAAUAAGAAUUUAAAUCUAGAACAACGCUUCCUUUGAGCGGCCCGGACAAUCCUGAACCCUUUAGGGUUGCUAUUCCAUCGAGGCUUAAACGAGGAUGACGCGGAGGUGUUGCCCAUUGAGGGGUUUUGGUGACAAGGAGUCACUGAACGAAACGCCAAACCAAAUGAAGAAAAAACAUUAAAAAAGGUAAUGCUAGAUACGACAUGAAGCUUUUGCUUUCGCAGAGAAUAAUGUGUAUUUGUGUGCAACCAACGAUCCUUUAUGUAUCCGAGCCGAGUCCUUUCCAUCUAUUCGGUGUGAGGAGCAAAACCCGAAUUUCAACACAUUUUACUGCUUAGCAACGAAAACAAAGCGGGUGUCAAAACAUCUUUUUACUUGCGGCAUACUUUAUUGCGGUAGAAACGCGUUGAUCAUGUAACAGGGUGAAUUUUUUCCCUUUUGUUCAUGCAGCAUCAAACGACACGCGAUAGGUUCCGGCGGUCAUCAACUAUUCAAGAUGGUAGACCUGUCAAUGUAAAAGACAGGGAUCUCAUCGUUGAAUCUGCGGUUACAAAAUCCAUAGUAUUGUCAAUCAAUCAUUCGAUUUGUGUUUUACAUUCUCCUAAAUCAGUUGUGGAAAUACGAUUUUUUACCCCCGCUUAUCCUGGAUGGUUAUUUAGGAUCAUGUAAGUUCAUUUUUUAGUUAACGUUGUGAACGUAACGGACGAACUCUGACAGUCUAUCGAGCUUUAGCAAUUUCGUCAAAUUUCUUAUUUUAUUUAGUUGAUUUAACCGUUUUAUGAGAAACCUCGAUUUGUAUUUUUUUUAAAUUAAUAAUUUAUCUAUUUUUUAAUCUCUGUUUUGCGAUUUUUUGCUCCGGUUGCAGGUGCAAGGGUCAUAUGUUUGUAACUUAGAUAAGGUUGCAGUAGAAUAUUUCAAAAAAGCCAAUUGUUGUUCAAACGGUUCGAAAUUGAAUAUUUAUUCAUUCACUGAAUAAAUGAGUCAAAUGACUCAAAUGUCAAUUGGUAUAAAGUGACUAAAGUUUAAGCCAUUA
This is a long non-coding RNA of Daphnia pulex (common water flea), 2607 nucleotides long. RefSeq lists it as uncharacterized. The record is from RefSeq and is a predicted model, not a curated record. The transcript is spliced from 6 exons. Lineage: Eukaryota; Metazoa; Arthropoda; Branchiopoda; Diplostraca; Daphniidae.